GAACGCUAGCUACAGGCUUAACACAUGCAAGUCGAGGGGCAGCAUGGUCUUAGCUUGCUAAGGCCGAUGGCGACCGGCGCACGGGUGAGUAACGCGUAUCCAACCUGCCUUACACUCUUGGACAGCCUUCUGAAAGGGAGAUUAAUACAAGAUGUUAUCAUGAGUAAGCAUUUUCGCAUGAUUAAAGGUUUACCGGUGUAAGAUGGGGAUGCGUUCCAUUAGAUAGUAGGCGGGGUAACGGCCCACCUAGUCUUCGAUGGAUAGGGGUUCUGAGAGGAAGGUCCCCCACAUUGGAACUGAGACACGGUCCAAACUCCUACGGGAGGCAGCAGUGAGGAAUAUUGGUCAAUGGACGAGAGUCUGAACCAGCCAAGUAGCGUGAAGGAUGAAGGUUCUAUGGAUUGUAAACUUCUUUUAUACGGGAAUAAACGGAUCCACGUGUGGAUUUUUGCAUGUACCGUAUGAAUAAGGAUCGGCUAACUCCGUGCCAGCAGCCGCGGUAAUACGGAGGAUCCGAGCGUUAUCCGGAUUUAUUGGGUUUAAAGGGAGCGUAGAUGGGUUGUUAAGUCAGUUGUGAAAGUUUGCGGCUCAACCGUAAAAUUGCAAUUGAUACUGGCAGUCUUGAGUACAGUUGAGGUAGGCGGAAUUCGUGGUGUAGCGGCGAAAUGCUUAGAUAUCACGAAGAACUCCGAUUGCGAAGGCGGCUUACUAACCUGUAACUGACAUUGAUGCUCGAAAGUGUGGGUAUCAAACAGGAUUAGAUACCCUGGUAGUCCACACGGUAAACGAUGAAUACUCGCUGUAGGCGAUAUACAGUCUGCGGCCAAGCGAAAGCAUUAAGUAUUCCACCUGGGGAGUACGCCGGCAACGGUGAAACUCAAAGGAAUUGACGGGGGCCCGCACAAGCGGAGGAACAUGUGGUUUAAUUCGAUGAUACGCGAGGAACCUUACCCGGGCUUAAAUUGCAACCGAAUAUGGCGGAAACGCUAUAGCUAGCAAUAGCGGUUGUGAAGGUGCUGCAUGGUUGUCGUCAGCUCGUGCCGUGAGGUGUCGGCUUAAGUGCCAUAACGAGCGCAACCCUUGCCGAUAGUUACUAACAGGUUAUGCUGAGGACUCUGUCGGGACUGCCAUCGUAAGAUGUGAGGAAGGUGGGGAUGACGUCAAAUCAGCACGGCCCUUACGUCCGGGGCUACACACGUGUUACAAUGGGGGGUACAGAGGGCUGCUACCACGCAAGUGGAUGCCAAUCCCAAAAACCUCUCUCAGUUCGGAUUGAAGUCUGCAACCCGACUUCAUGAAGCUGGAUUCGCUAGUAAUCGCGCAUCAGCCACGGCGCGGUGAAUACGUUCCCGGGCCUUGUACACACCGCCCGUCAAGCCAUGGGAGCCGGGGGUACCUGAAGUGCGUAACCGCAAGGAGCGCCCUAGGGUAAAACUGG
RNAcentral lists this ribosomal RNA (1438 nucleotides) under uncultured organism. Its description in RNAcentral is "16S ribosomal RNA". It matches the Rfam family "Bacterial small subunit ribosomal RNA". The record is from RNAcentral.